CUGCUCAUUAAUCCUUGUGCUGCAUUCUUCAGUAGCUUCUCCACAACCUUGGCUAGCUUCGUCUUUGUCCUCAGGAGUCACUUGGACAGAACUUCUUUCCUCUUCCUUCUUGACUGAUCUCUCAUAUAAAUCACUGACGAUAAAUGAGGGGUAGUAUCUGUCCUUCAGAGUUUCGUAAACAUCUGCCUGAAUUCUGUAGAAUACUUCAAUGCCUU
RNAcentral lists this long non-coding RNA (215 nucleotides) under Gallus gallus (chicken). Lineage: Eukaryota; Metazoa; Chordata; Aves; Galliformes; Phasianidae. The record is from RNAcentral.